AUUGAACGCUGGCGGCAUGCCUUACACAUGCAAGUCGAACGGUAACGCGGGGCAACCUGGCGACGAGUGGCGAACGGGUGAGUAAUGUAUCGGAACGUGCCCAGUUGUGGGGGAUAACUGCUCGAAAGAGCAGCUAAUACCGCAUACGACCUGAGGGUGAAAGCGGGGGAUCGCAAGACCUCGCGCAAUUGGAGCGGCCGAUAUCAGAUUAGGUAGGUGGUGGGGUAAAGGCUCACCAAGCCAACGAGCUGUAGCUGGUCUGAGAGGACGACCCGCCACACUGGGACUGAGACACGGCCCAGACUCCUACGGGAGGCAGCAGUGGGGAAUUUUGGACAAUGGACGCAAGUCUGAUCCAGCCAUGCCGCGUGCGGGAAGAAGGCCUUCGGGUUGUAAACCGCUUUUGUCAGGGAAGAAACGCUCUGGGUUAAUACCUCGGGGUAAUGACGGUACCUGAAGAAUAAGCACCGGCUAACUACGUGCCAGCCGCCGCCGUAA
This 498-nucleotide ribosomal RNA is filed under the name uncultured bacterium. RNAcentral describes it as "partial 16S ribosomal RNA". It matches the Rfam family "Bacterial small subunit ribosomal RNA", at positions 29 to 523 of the family's 1533-position model. The record is from RNAcentral.